Molecule: ribosomal RNA, 301 nt
Filed under: uncultured bacterium
Lineage: Bacteria
Description: partial 16S ribosomal RNA
Rfam family: Bacterial small subunit ribosomal RNA
Source: RNAcentral
CAGCCGCCGCGGGAAUACGAAGGGGGCUAGCGUUGCUCGGAAUUACUGGGCGUAAAGGGAGCGUAGGCGGACAUUUAAGUCAGGGGUGAAGUCCCGGGGCUCAACCUCGGAAUUGCCUUUGAUACUGGGUGUCUUGAGUAUGAGAGAGGUAUGUGGAACUCCGAGUGUAGAGGUGAAAUUCGUAGAUAUUCGGAAGAACACCAGUGGCGAAGGCGACAUACUGGCUCAUUACUGACGCUGAGGCUCGAAAGCGUGGGGAGCAAACAGGAUUAGAUACCCCAGUAGUCCCUGUCUCUUAUAC